CAAACUAAAGAUGGCGACCGGCGCACGGGUGAGUAACACGUAUCCAACCUGCCGAUAACUCGGGGAUAGCCUUUCGAAAGAAAGAUUAAUACCCGAUGGUAUAAUCAGACCGCAUGGUUUGAUUAUUAAAGAAUUUCGGUUAUCGAUGGGGAUGCGUUCCAUUAGGCAGUUGGUGAGGUAACGGCUCACCAAACCUUCGACGGAUAGGGGUUCUGAGAGGAAGGUCCCCCACAUUGGAACUGAGACACGGUCCAA
RNAcentral lists this ribosomal RNA (255 nucleotides) under uncultured bacterium. Its description in RNAcentral is "partial 16S ribosomal RNA". It matches the Rfam family "Bacterial small subunit ribosomal RNA", at positions 74 to 334 of the family's 1533-position model. The record is from RNAcentral.